RNAcentral lists this ribosomal RNA (411 nucleotides) under Salmonella enterica subsp. enterica serovar Muenster. RNAcentral's name for it is "partial 23S ribosomal RNA". It matches the Rfam family "Bacterial large subunit ribosomal RNA", at positions 137 to 586 of the family's 2925-position model. Lineage: Bacteria; Pseudomonadati; Pseudomonadota; Gammaproteobacteria; Enterobacterales; Enterobacteriaceae. The record is from RNAcentral.
GACUCGUCACACUAUCAUUAACUGAAUCCAUAGGUUAAUGAGGCGAACCGGGGGAACUGAAACAUCUAAGUACCCCGAGGAAAAGAAAUCAACCGAGAUUCCCCCAGUAGCGGCGAGCGAACGGGGAGGAGCCCAGAGCCUGAAUCAGCAUGUGUGUUAGUGGAAGCGUCUGGAAAGGCGCGCGAUACAGGGUGACAGCCCCGUACACAAAAGCGCAUGUGCUGUGAGCUCGAUGAGUAGGGCGGGACACGUGGUAUCCUGUCUGAAUAUGGGGGGACCAUCCUCCAAGGCUAAAUACUCCUGACUGACCGAUAGUGAACCAGUACCGUGAGGGAAAGGCGAAAAGAACCCCGGCGAGGGGAGUGAAAAAGAACCUGAAACCGUGUACGUACAAGCAGUGGGAGCACCCUU